AUUGAACGCUGGCGGCAGGCCUAACACAUGCAAGUCGAGCGGAUGAAGGGAGCUUGCUCCUGGAUUCAGCGGCGGACGGGUGAGUAAUGCCUAGGAAUCUGCCUGGUAGUGGGGGAUAACGUCCGGAAACGGGCGCUAAUACCGCAUACGUCCUGAGGGAGAAAGUGGGGGAUCUUCGGACCUCACGCUAUCAGAUGAGCCUAGGUCGGAUUAGCUAGUUGGUGGGGUAAAGGCCUACCAAGGCGACGAUCCGUAACUGGUCUGAGAGGAUGAUCAGUCACACUGGAACUGAGACACGGUCCAGACUACUAAGGGAGGCAGCAGUGGGGAAUAUUGGACAAUGGGCGAAAGCCUGAUCCAGCCAUGCCGCGUGUGUGAAGAAGGUCUUCGGAUUGUAAAGCACUUUAAGUUGGGAGGAAGGGCAGUAAGUUAAUACCUUGCUGUUUUGACGUUACCAACAGAAUAAGCACCGGCUAACUUCGUG
Molecule: ribosomal RNA, 484 nt
Filed under: uncultured bacterium
Lineage: Bacteria
Description: partial 16S ribosomal RNA
Rfam family: Bacterial small subunit ribosomal RNA
Source: RNAcentral